UUGUACUUCCCUCAGCUUUUUUCCAUUGGUGGGAGUGGGAUUAAAAAAAAAGUUUUUCCUCCACCCAAAACACACUUCUUCACACUCCACUCUUCACUCUCCCAUUUUAUGUUCUCUCUCUUCCGUUGUUUUCCAUCUUCUUUCUCCAUUGAAACCCUAGCCGCAACUGCUCCAUUUCUCCACUUUAUUUACAGCCACCACCAUCUGUAAUGAAAAAACCAAAGUCAUAUUCGUACUCUUUAUCUCAUGGCCUUCCUAAUCAACCAAUUGGAAUUUUGUUUCGAAGGACUUCGCAGCAACCAGCGUUUCUCCAUCUCUGACCGAUUCGAGGAAGUAGGAGAUACCAGACCGAGUUCGAUGGAUAGAGUCACGACAUGUGACAGUAGAAGUCGUGUUGUCUUGGAGGGUUUUAUGAUUUUGCUCUAUUUUCAACCGGUUGUUACAUAGGUGAUUUUGUUACCCAUGUUUAAUGUUGUUUCUAUUUUCUUUAAUUUUCCAGGUUUUUAUUUCAAUAUGACUGAAGCUAACUCAACGAGAUUAACGAGGAUGACGAGAAACUGAUGGAUGCAUUCUUAUCCAAGGACCUAGGUUCCCAGACAACAACACUUGCAGAUGUUUUGUGACCGUAUAUGGAUUUGAUUCUUUUUACAGGCUGCACGGCUUCAAUGUCGAGGACAAAAAUUAUUGCUAGCCCGAAUAGAGGAAGUGCCAGUGUGAUCUUAUGCUGAUAUGGUGCGUGUUUCUGUUUCUAUGCAUUCUACUUUGAAAUUGAUAAUAUAAUAGUGCUUAUGUAUUUCUGUGCAACUGCGAAUCCCGAUGGCCAAAAGCGAGACCUUGUGAUCGGAGGAGAAACUGCUAACUUCAUUGAUAUUGAUAUUGAUAUUGAUAUUGAUCCAGAAAACAAAAAAGAAGACCGUGUUCAUUCACUUGCUUGAUUUAUGACAACAUAUAUCUUCUGACUUUUGGUUUCUGCUGUAAGUUAAGAACGUAUCUGCCACCGUUAAUUUGUUCCUACUUAUAUGUAAAUGUUUUGAUUCAUUACAUCAUUAAAUGGGACUGGAAUUCUCAAAUGAGAUGAGCAAAAUUGUUUGAUAUUCUGAAAUUCUGAUUCAGUUGCAAUAGGGACUGUUUUGCAAUGGGAGUGGGAGUGUUUUGACUAAGGGAAUGUUCUGAAAUUGUAUUCUGAAAUCUUUAGUAAGUAUGGUAAUGGGACUGUUUUGACUAAGGGACUGUUUUGUCUUAUAUUUUCAUCCCUAUUUGCAUUAUAAAUCAGUGAGAAUGCUAACAGUAGGUGUAUAAUGCUAGAGAAAACUAAAGAACUCCUAAAGCGGUUUCUUGAUUCUUGAUUCAUGACACCGUUAAUUUGUUCCUACUUUGAUUAAUGUUUAUUUUUGUUUUAGAUUACUUUGGUUCUGAUUUUUGUUAUGCUUUUAUGCUUCAACAGAUCCGGUAAGCUGACGAUCGUGGUGUCUUGCAAUGACGUUUUAUGCACAGAUCUGGUGACGAUAUCAAAAAAAUACAAUUUUAGGGUUGUGUGAUGACUAAGUAUGCCUUUUUGAAUUGAUUUUCUUUGCACGUUCAAAUCAUGGGUUUCUUUGCACAACUUUGUAUUGUUACAGCUUAUUUUCAAAUAGAAAAGCUAGCACAUUUUGGUAAGUAACCAAUCACAAAGAUCACAAAGUAGCAGCCAGUAGCUUGUAGUAACAGACACCACAUUCCAAUUCUAUCAGAUUGCGCAGACCGAAUGUUGAAAAAAAUGCAGUUUGAAAUUUGUUUAUUGUUUGCAAUUUGAAUGAGUUUUUGUUUUGUUUGUGGUUGAUGUCAUUUUCUUAUCAUGAAUCGUGGUUGAUUUAUCACUGUGUUUGGGUUUGUUCUGUGGGUGUAGAACUGCUUUCAAGGAGAAGAAAAUUUCAUUUUCAUUCUUUCUUACAAAGUCUUCGAUGAAAUGUCUUUGCCGAUUUCUUGAUUCUUUCUCUUCUGUUUGGAUUUGAUUGUGUUUGUAUUGUGUUAUUUUUUAUUGAAGAAAACUGGCGGCGGAGUCUAUUUACAAAGAGAGAUGUAUUCUGGUAAAUGAUAAAUUUUCAUGAUUCUUGACGCAAUUGAGCAAGUGGGUGGGAUAAACGUUGUCACUGCUGACCAUGGGAAUGCAGAAGACCGGUUGUUUAUGUUUUGUUAAGGAGCGGAAUGGAAUUGAUAAGCUAAUACUCAAAGAAUUGAAUUGAUUUAUGCCUACAAGAUAAAGAUUGGAGAUGAGUACGCGAAAUGGUCGUCGACGGCAAGAGACCGAGAUCCAUCGAUACUGAGAGAGCAUUAUGUCAUAAUUGCUUACAUUGUUGCUGCCACUGGUGGCUCUCUCUUUGGCGAUGAUGUUGGAAUUUCAGGGGCUCUUCAAAAAUUGCCAAAGGUAAUAGGAUAUAUCUUACUCCAUUUUGGUUAAACAUAGAGAUUUAUAUUUUCAUUUUAAUUGUGACUGGAUUUGUUAACAACUUGUGUGAAGGUUCUUGGAAGUCACAUUGUGUAAUAUUUCGAUUUGAACUAGACGGUUGAAUAGAGUACCGACCUAUUUGUCGAUUUGCUUGAUUUUGAUUGUAUCACAGUUGAUGUAACUAUUCUGGUUGCUUCAUUUUGUGUUAUUUGCUUCAUUGUACUUUUUAUUCUAAACUAUCAUCAUAUUCAUGCAAUGAGAAUGCCAAUAAUUUAGAUCCAUAUCAAAAUCAUCUUGCACAACUUGAUCAAUAGGUUAUAUGUUAAUGUUAGUUUCGAAUUCCACCUAAAUUCAAUAUUCACCUAUGUUAUCGCAUCGGUUUAGGUUAAGGCCAAACUCAUUUAGUUUCAAAGUACAUGUCAUUUGAUAUUAAUCUAUUUUUUUCUCUCAUGAUAAAUAAGAAUUGAUUAAUAAUUAAUUUUAUUAAUUUUAUUAAAUACAAAAAAUCCAUGAUUAAAGAAUAAAUUAAUUAGAUGACUUUGUACAAAUUUAAUGUGUCAUAAACCCCCAAAAUUAAAACAGAUAACUCCUCAUUCA
Long non-coding RNA from Vicia villosa (hairy vetch), 3022 nucleotides. RefSeq lists it as uncharacterized. Lineage: Eukaryota; Viridiplantae; Streptophyta; Magnoliopsida; Fabales; Fabaceae. The transcript has 5 exons. The record is from RefSeq and is a predicted model, not a curated record.